GUUAGCUAAUAUUUGUAGCGAAUAGGAUCGUUUGCCUACGUUUGCCGCUAGGGGCGCUGUUCCAACUGCAUACAAAAUUGGGUUA
This is a non-coding RNA of Bombyx mori (domestic silkworm), 85 nucleotides long. Lineage: Eukaryota; Metazoa; Arthropoda; Insecta; Lepidoptera; Bombycidae. The record is from Rfam.